RNAcentral lists this ribosomal RNA (253 nucleotides) under uncultured bacterium. RNAcentral's name for it is "partial 16S ribosomal RNA". It matches the Rfam family "Bacterial small subunit ribosomal RNA", at positions 524 to 776 of the family's 1533-position model. The record is from RNAcentral.
UACGUAGGGGGCAAGCGUUGUCCGGAAUCAUUGGGCGUAAAGCGCGUGUAGGCGGCUCGAUAAGUCUGCUGUGAAAGUCCAGGGCUCAACCCUGGAAUGCCGGUGGAAACUGUCGGGCUAGAGUCCGGAAGAGGCGAGUGGAAUUCCUGGUGUAGCGGUGAAAUGCGCAGAUAUCAGGAGGAACACCAAUGGCGAAGGCAGCUCGCUGGGACGGUACUGACGCUGAGACGCGAAAGCUAGGGUAGCAAACGGG